This 478-nucleotide ribosomal RNA is filed under the name uncultured bacterium. RNAcentral describes it as "partial 16S ribosomal RNA". It matches the Rfam family "Bacterial small subunit ribosomal RNA", at positions 28 to 523 of the family's 1533-position model. The record is from RNAcentral.
GACGAACGCUGGCGGCGUGCUUAACACAUGCAAGUCGAACGGUAAGGCCCUUCGGGGUACACGAGUGGCGAACGGGUGAGUAACACGUGGGUGAUCUGCCCUGCACUUCGGGAUAAGCCUGGGAAACUGGGUCUAAUACCGGAUAGGACCCUGGGAUGCAUGUCCUGGGGUGGAAAGCUUUUGGGGUGUGGGCUGGGCCCGGGGCCUAUCAGCUUGUUGGUGGGGGGAUGGCCUACCAAGGCGACGACGGGUAGCCGGCCUGAGAGGGUGACCGGCCACACUGGGACUGAGAUACGGCCCAGACUCCUACGGGAGGCAGCAGUGGGGAAUAUUGCACAAUGGGCGCAAGCCUGAUGCAGCGACGCCGCGUGAGGGAUGACGGCCUUCGGGUUGUAAACCUCUUUCAGCACCGACGAAGCGCAAGUGACGGUAGGUGCAGAAGAAGGACCGGCCAACUACGUGCCAGCAGCCGCCGUAA